GGAUGACAUUAUAAACCAACUAGAACAAGUAGUAUCCAAUAUGGAAAAAAGAAUUGAUACUCUAAGUUGGAAAAUAAAAAAAUUUGAAAGUGUGUGCUUUGCAGAAACCGAAAGUUCACAUACAAAGAACACAGAAAUGACCAGAAUACGUUCACUGAUACAUUACAAAUGCAAGUCAAUUUAGCAAAAAGCAGAGUAGAAACAUUAAUUGCGUUAGUCACGAAAGGAAAAACAAUUGAUAUAUAAC
Long non-coding RNA from Adelges cooleyi (spruce gall adelgid), 247 nucleotides. RefSeq lists it as uncharacterized. The record is from RefSeq and is a predicted model, not a curated record. Lineage: Eukaryota; Metazoa; Arthropoda; Insecta; Hemiptera; Adelgidae. The transcript has 3 exons.